AAGGAGAGAACUGGGAUUUGAGAGAUGAAAAUGGGGCUUGAGCACAGGCUAAACAGGAAUCGAGGUUUGUUGCAGUAGUUCUCAGAGAGCAAGGAGGCAGACGGGGAGUACCUCAAGUCUCAGAACCUUUUUCCUGCGUGAUAAGAGAAGCAGAAACCUGAAGUCUUGUGAAAGGAGCUGGUGGCGCCAAGUCGGAGAAUUCUGCUGCAUUGUAGGAUCUUCUGGUCUCUCAGCUCCUGCUCCACAAAAGGAAAGCUGGGGAUGUCAGGAUAAGGAGACUCUUCUGUCUUCACCCCACUCACAAACGCCCACACGAGGGACAGACAGGAUAAUCAUAUUUGUCUUCAAGAUGAACAAGAAGCUAAGGGGACUCUAACUUCAAGGAAACCCAAGAAUUAGGGAGAACUAUCCAAUAUCAAAUGUUUGACAAAUAAGGACCUUAUUAUAGUAACCCUUUUGUAUUUUGAAUACUGCCCAGAAGAUAAUGAGAAAGUGACUCCCCUUUAAAAUUAAAGAGGAACAUUUACUAUUUAUAAGGAAAAAUCAUCGGCUAAUAAAAUCCAUGGAAUCUAUUAGCAUUCCAGAUGUACAUCAGAGGGCUGGGUUGAAUUUAAAUGUUGUCUUCAAACACAUAAAAUGUUUUCCAGAGGAUAAUGGCUACUUUUUUUUUUUAAAGAUUGGCAUCUGUUCCCAAUCAUUUUUUUCUUUUCUUCUUCUCCUCAAAGCCCCCUAAUACAUAGCUGUAUAUUGUAGUUGUGGUCCUUCUAGUUGUGGCAUGUGGGAUGCCACCUCAGAAUGGCCCAAUGAGCAGUGCCAUGUCUGGGCCCAGGAUCCAAAGUGACGAAACCCUGGGCCGCUGAAGCAGAGCCCGCGAACCCAACCACUCGGCCACGGGGCCUGGCUGGUUGUUUUUAUUCCACACUUAGGUCAUGAGUGGAACUUGAGUUUACAUUAAGGUAUGAGGGUUUGAUAGAAAUUACAGAGAUGAAUUUCUUGAGCAUUUGUGCUAUUACAAAUCAGAGCAAGUCGCUAGUGCAGGCUGUGCCCUAUUUCCUUGCCAAUUUCUACCAAAGAAUAAUUUCUUUUCUGCUGUGAUUUAAGCAUGGUUUAAGAAAGUUGGGUCAGAUUAUAUUUCAAGAUUCACACUAGUCCUUUAAAAUAUUCCUUAGCCAGGGGCUGGCCCCGUGGCCGAGUGGUUAAAUUUGCGCGCUCCGCUGCAGGCGGCCCAGUGUUUCGUUGGUUCGAAUCCUGGGCGCGGACAUGGGACUGCUCAUCAAACCACGCUGAGGCAGCGUCCCACAUGCCACAACUAGAAGGACCCACAACGAAGAAUAUACAACUAUGUACCGGAGGGCUUUGGGGAGAAAAAGGAAAAAAUAAAAUCUUAAAAAAAUAAUAACAAUUCUUAGCCAUUUUAAGGUUCCUUGGGGGAAGUAUUGAUGUUCAAGUUUCCCUCCAUAUGAGUGGUGGCUGCUGGAAAAACAAUAACCAGACAUGGUUGGGUUUCUUGCAUUCAAACACAUUUGCAAAGGCAUAUAAUUUCCACAGAAUUCUCUUUAUCUUUCUCAUCCACUACACUGCUAUGUUGGCAGAAGUACCAGUGUGUGUGUGUAUUUUAUUUUUUGCUUUCUCUCUUUCUUCCAGAUGAAAGAUAAAUAGGUGCUGGGUGCGGAGGGUUGUCAGUGGGAAAAUCAAUGAUAGUUCAUGUUUGGUACUAAUGAGAGGAUGCUGAACAUACUGCUGACUACCCUGGAAAUUUCUCUUUGUUCUUAGGUCGUGGAUAUUAAUUUUAUGUAGUAAUAACAUUCUU
Equus caballus (horse) is the source of this 1810-nucleotide long non-coding RNA. The record is from Ensembl. NCBI's taxonomy places the organism in Eukaryota, Metazoa, Chordata, Mammalia, Perissodactyla, Equidae.